Molecule: small nuclear RNA, 334 nt
Filed under: Camelus ferus (Wild Bactrian camel)
Lineage: Eukaryota; Metazoa; Chordata; Mammalia; Artiodactyla; Camelidae
Description: 7SK RNA
Rfam family: 7SK RNA (bases 1-297)
About the family: 7SK was discovered as an abundant small nuclear RNA in the mid-70s but a possible function has only recently been suggested. Two independent studies have found that 7SK RNA binds the CDK9/cyclin T complex (known as elongation factor P-TEFb).
Source: Rfam by way of RNAcentral
GGAUGUGAGGGCAAUCAGGCUGCAACAUCUGUUAUUCCAUUGAUCGCCAGGGUUGAUUCGGCUUAUCUGGCUGGCUAGGUGGGUGUCCCCUUCCUCCCUCACUGCUUCAUGUGCGUCCCUCCCCAAGCUGAGCACUCGGUUGAUCAAAGAGGACGACCAUCCCCGAUAGAGGAGGACUGUUCUCCUCGGUCAAGGGUAUACGAGUAGCUGCGCUCUCCCGCUAGAACCUCCAAACAAGCUCUCAGGUAAAAAACUUAUCUAACUGAAUACCUAAGAUCUGUGCAUUUCACUGUUUCUAAGUUUACUUCAGAAAAAAAUGUUUUUAGUUAUAUUU